Molecule: transfer RNA, 74 nt
Organism: Oceanibaculum indicum P24
Lineage: Bacteria; Pseudomonadati; Pseudomonadota; Alphaproteobacteria; Rhodospirillales; Oceanibaculaceae
Rfam family: tRNA
About the family: Transfer RNA (tRNA) molecules are approximately 80 nucleotides in length. Their secondary structure includes four short double-helical elements and three loops (D, anti-codon, and T loops).
Source: Rfam
CGGAGCAUAGCUCAGCCUGGUAGAGCACUGUCUUCGGGAGGCAGGGGUCGCAGGUUCAAAUCCUGCUGCUCCGA